GACGAACGCUGGCGGCGUGCCUAACACAUGCAAGUCGAACGGAAAGGCCCUGCCUUUGUGGGGUGCUCGAGUGGCGAACGGGUGAGCAACACGUGAGUAACCUGCCCCUGACCUUGGGAUAUCCUCAGGAAACUGGGUCUAAUACCGGAUAGGAGCUCCUGCUGCAUGGUGGGGGUUGGAUAGGUUCGGUGGUUGGGGAUGGACUGGCGGCCUAUCAGCUUGUUGGUGUGGUAGUGGCUUACCAAGGCUUUGACCGGUAGCCGGCCUGCGAGGGUCACCUGCCAAGAUGGAACGGAGAUACGGCCCAGACUCCUACGGGAGGCAGCGGUGGAGAGUGUUACACAGUAGGCGGAAGCCUGGUGCAGCAACGCCGCGUGCGGGAUGACGUCCUUCGGGUUGUGAACCGCUGUCGCCUUAGCCGAAACGUGAGUGACGGUAAUGGGUAAAGAAGCACCGGCUAACUACGUG
Molecule: ribosomal RNA, 468 nt
Filed under: uncultured bacterium
Lineage: Bacteria
Description: partial 16S ribosomal RNA
Rfam family: Bacterial small subunit ribosomal RNA
Source: RNAcentral